UGUGUUCAUAGACUCUUGUAGACUAUCUAACUAAAGCGGUUGAUUUCGGAAAAAAAUUGGCAUAAAGAUUCUCUAACUAUCCAAACUUAAAACUUUAAAGAUUCUUACGAGCUAGAUGAGGUGACAGAAGAAUAAGAUUGUGCAGAUAGGAUGCAGCCAGUUCAAGUAAAAUAUUUUGAUGGUAGAAACUACCUAAAGUUGUAUUUAAAAAGAAUAUUUAAACUGCAUCUUUAACAAAAAAAAUUAUCUUCUUGAUUUUGAUCGCAUAAACUUAAGUUCCAUUUUUGUGGCAUGGUUAAUAUAUUCAUGGUGGUUGUUUAGGAAUAUAAAAGGAAAAAUGAUUAUUAGUUACAUGAAC
This 358-nucleotide long non-coding RNA is filed under the name Brassica napus (rape). RNAcentral's name for it is "long non-coding RNA (BNAP_LNC018243)". Lineage: Eukaryota; Viridiplantae; Streptophyta; Magnoliopsida; Brassicales; Brassicaceae. The record is from RNAcentral.